AGUCGACGAAGCACCUUAUUCUGAUUUCUUCGGAAUGAAAAAUUUGGUGACUGAGUGGCGGACGGGUGAGUAACGCGUGGGUAACCUGCCUCAUACAGGGGGAUAACAGUUAGAAAUGACUGCUAAUACCGCAUAAGACCACAGCACCGCAUGGUGCAGGGGUAAAAACUCCGGUGGUAUGAGAUGGACCCGCGUCUGAUUAGGUAGUUGGUGGGGUAACGGCCUACCAAGCCGACGAUCAGUAGCCGACCUGAGAGGGUGACCGGCCACAUUGGGACUGAGACACGGCCCAAACUCCUACGGGAGGCAGCAGUGGGGAAUAUUGCACAAUGGGGGAAACCCUGAUGCAGCGACGCCGCGUGAGCGAUGAAGUAUUUCGGUAUGUAAAGCUCUAUCAGCAGGGAAGAAAAUGACGGUACCUGACUAAGAAGCACCGGCUAAAUACGUGCCAGCAGCCGCGGUAAUACGUAUGGUGCAAGCGUUAUCCGGAUUUACUGGGUGUAAAG
This 506-nucleotide ribosomal RNA is filed under the name uncultured bacterium. RNAcentral describes it as "bacterial SSU rRNA". It matches the Rfam family "Bacterial small subunit ribosomal RNA", at positions 60 to 565 of the family's 1533-position model. The record is from RNAcentral.